UACGUAGGGGGCAAGCGUUGUCCGGAAUUAUUGGGCGUAAAGAGCUCGUAGGCGGUCUGUCGCGUCGGAUGUGAAAAUCCAGGGCUCAACCCUGGACCUGCAUUCGAUACGGGCAGACUAGAGUUCGGUAGGGGAGACUGGAAUUCCUGGUGUAGCGGUGAAAUGCGCAGAUAUCAGGAGGAACACCGGUGGCGAAGGCGGGUCUCUGGGCAACAACUGACGCUGAGGAGCGAAAGCGUGGGGAGAGAACAGG
This 253-nucleotide ribosomal RNA is filed under the name uncultured bacterium. RNAcentral describes it as "partial 16S ribosomal RNA". It matches the Rfam family "Bacterial small subunit ribosomal RNA", at positions 524 to 776 of the family's 1533-position model. The record is from RNAcentral.